AUGCAUUUUAGGAGAACUUUGAUAGGGGAUUCAAGAGAACUUUGGGAGCAUAUCAAGGAAGCUUGUAGCUCAGUGACUUUGAAUGAAGACAAAGAUGAGGUAAAAUGGACACUGACUAAGAAAGGGAUUUAUACUGUAAAAUCCUUCUACAGACAUCUGAUUGAAAAUGGUAUUAAAUACCCACACCUGUACAUGUGGAAAAUUAAGAUGCCACCUAGAGUCAAAGUCUUUAUGUGGUUGGCUCUUAGAAACAGUAUUCUUACAAAAGAUAAUCUGCUUCGCAGGGGGUGGAAAGGUGAUGAUAAAUGUCCUUUCUGUGGACAUAAAGAAAAUAUAAACCACCUCUUCCUCUCUUGCUCUGUUGCUAGGUUACUAUGGAACAUCUUAAAAUGUGCUUUCAAUUUAAAAAGCAUCCCAGAAGAUCUUGACCUGGUAAUGAGAACCUGGGUGAAGACUUUUGAAAAAGAUGAAAGGGGUUUGGUUAUGAUAGGUAUCUCAGCGAUUUGCUGGACUAUUUGGAAGUUGAGAAAUAGUAUUAUAUUUGAUAACAACAGGGUGAAUGAUCCCUGUGUACCUGCUAACCUGCUUCUCAAAAACUUGCAUGAUUGGAAUGUUUUGCAGACAAACCCCGUAAGAAGUAAGAUGAUGGAGGCUGGAGUGAAACAAGUCGGCGAGGUGGCUGGAGAAGUGUUUAAAGCAGCUCAUGGAUGGCGCCUUAAGACUGGGAGAAUCCUGGGGUGA
RNAcentral lists this ribosomal RNA (741 nucleotides) under Triticum aestivum (bread wheat). RNAcentral's name for it is "partial small subunit ribosomal RNA". The record is from RNAcentral. Lineage: Eukaryota; Viridiplantae; Streptophyta; Magnoliopsida; Poales; Poaceae.